CUGAAAAUCUCGAAUCGGUGACGGACUUCUGAUCAUGGUCGCGGCCGUGAUAAGAUAUGAGAACGGAGAUGGCGUUGAGCUCUCCCCUUAUUUCUUUUUUGGCUUGCUGUUUUUGUAAAUCGCAAGUCAAUGGUGUAGACGUUGACGUCGGAGAAGAUGAGUGAACCAGGGUGUGACGCGGAGACGACGAAAAAUGAUGGGUUUCAUAGUGAGGUGUCUCCUAGCCCCUACUCCCUCUCUUUCUUUCUAUUUUUUUUUUAUAUAUAAAAAAAAAAUCGAGCUUGGCUGCCAUGAUUCCACGUUUUCGGUGGUGCAGAUCUUCUUCUUUCUUCUUCUGUUGCUGUUCUCUUGACUUUUCCUUCUGUCUGAAGUAUCUCGGUUUUAUUACAGAAAAUUAUCUCAUGUUGCCAUCGAUAUUUGUGUAUGUUGAGGAGCUCAGAUUGUGUUGGUCGAUGGCUGCCUGGCUGGAACUGGAACAGAGUAUAAAAUAACGUCUUUUUUUUUUUAUGUUUUGCAGAAUUCCGUUUUCUGGCUACCAGAGAAGGACACCAUUGGAGCAGAUGUUGAAGACCGAUUGGAAGCAAACGAAUUAACAUUCAAAAUCUGACCAAUUGACUAGCCGAUAAGUUGAUAUCCUUGCGGUGGAUUGCAAACACGAAGCUAGCUUAAAGCUGAAAUAGAGGGUCGAAGAAGCGCUGGGAGCUCGAAGCUCGGAGCUCAUCUAUGAACAGCUUUGGUGAAGCGCAAACAAGUGAGAGCUCAGAACACGGAGUUUGGUGAAGCAUAAAUGGUGGAACCUAGUUGACGAGCUACCGCGAGGUCGGAAAAAUCUCGGUCGUGAGAAGCUUGAGGGUGCACACGAUCUUUGUUUAUUCUUGUUGAAGGUUGUUGUUUUGAUUGCUCCACAAGUUAGGUCUCCCUUGUAACAAAGUAUGAGAAAGCUGGG
RNAcentral lists this long non-coding RNA (946 nucleotides) under Eutrema salsugineum. RNAcentral's name for it is "long non-coding RNA (ESAL_LNC000300)". The record is from RNAcentral. Lineage: Eukaryota; Viridiplantae; Streptophyta; Magnoliopsida; Brassicales; Brassicaceae.